RNAcentral lists this ribosomal RNA (465 nucleotides) under uncultured bacterium. Its description in RNAcentral is "partial 16S ribosomal RNA". It matches the Rfam family "Bacterial small subunit ribosomal RNA", at positions 28 to 507 of the family's 1533-position model. The record is from RNAcentral.
GACGAACGCUGGCGGCGUGCUUAACACAUGCAAGUCGAACGGAAAGGCCCUGCUUGCUGGGUACUCGAGUGGCGAACGGGUGAGUAACACGUGGGUGAUCUGCCCUGCACUUCGGGAUAAGCCUGGGAAACUGGGUCUAAUACCGGAUAGGAGCCAUUUUUAGUGUGAUGGUUGGAAAGUUUUUUCGGUGUAGGAUGAGCUCGCGGCCUAUCAGCUUGUUGGUGGGGUAAUGGCCUACCAAGGCGGCGACGGGUAGCCGGCCUGAGAGGGUGGACGGCCACAUUGGGACUGAGAGACGGCCCAGACGCCUACGGGAGGCAGCAGUGGGGAAUAUUGCACAAUGGGCGCAAGCCUGAUGCAGCGACGCCGCGUGGGGGAUGACGGCCUUCGGGUUGUAAACUCCUUUCGCUAGGGACGAAGCUUUUAGUGACGGUACCUAGAGAAGAAGCACCGGCUAACUACGUG